This 253-nucleotide ribosomal RNA is filed under the name uncultured bacterium. Its description in RNAcentral is "partial 16S ribosomal RNA". It matches the Rfam family "Bacterial small subunit ribosomal RNA", at positions 524 to 776 of the family's 1533-position model. The record is from RNAcentral.
UACGUAGGGACCAAGCGUUGUUCGGAUUUACUGGGCGUAAAGGGCGCGUAGGCGGCGUGUCAAGUCAAUUGUGAAAUCUCCGGGCUUAACUCGGAACGGUCAAUUGAUACUGAUGUGCUAGAGUGCAGAAGGGGCAAUCGGAAUUCUUGGUGUAGCGGUGAAAUGCGUAGAUAUCAAGAGGAACACCUGAGGUGAAGACGGGUUGCUGGGCUGACACUGACGCUGAGGCGCGAAAGCCAGGGGAGCGAACGGG